Camellia sinensis is the source of this 285-nucleotide non-coding RNA. NCBI's taxonomy places the organism in Eukaryota, Viridiplantae, Streptophyta, Magnoliopsida, Ericales, Theaceae. The record is from RefSeq and is a predicted model, not a curated record.
GACCCAUAAACCCUAGCCUUAUUCAACAUAUCACACGCCUCUCAUCUCUCUCUCUCUCUCUCUCUCCUCUCCUCUCUUUCUCAGACUGAGUUCUCUCUCUCUGUUCUUGUUAUUUCAUCUCAUAUCAGAUCGAUCAGAUCGCUAGCGGCUUGGUCUCUUGCUCUAUCUCUCUCUCUCGGUGACACUGUUGGUUUCCAUCUCAUCGCAAAAUGUAACCCAUUAACAUCUGUAUAAUAUGUAUUUAUUUUUUAUUGUCUUGAUGUAUUGAUGAUGGGAUUGAUUUUA